GACAAGGUGGAUGUUUCAUAAGUUCUUCGCAUAAUUCUCAUGCGAAUUGUGAUGUGAUAAGUGUAUAUACAUAGGAACGUAGGUGUUAAAUGGUCAGUUAGCAUGAUCGGAAAAUGGAGGAGAGUACAGGAACAUCUUGGUGUCGCUGUCCACAAUUUUGGACAAGAUGGUCCACAUCGAUUGCGGUUAACUAUUGGCGAAGUCGUUCAGUUAUUAGAAGAGUGCGAUGAUUGGUACUAUGGAAGCAGUAAAUACAAAGGAGAGUAUGGGAUUUUUCCGAAAUCCUACGUUCGUGUUCUACCCCUGAACAGAAACACGGAAGCUUUAACGUAUGAAAUAACCAAUGUACUGAGAGAAUGGGGCCAUCAUUGGAAGCACUUAUACGUGACACACUCGAAGCAUUUCUUGCCCAUUCAACAAGAAAUCUUGGAACUGAUAGAAUACAGAAGUAAAAUCCUAAGCGGAACGUUGACGGUCGAUGAAUUGAAAGAUGUGAAGAGGUUGGCAACUGCCAGAAUAGAUACUGGAAAUCAACUUUUAGGUUUGGAUAUGGUGGUUCGUGACGAACAGGGAAAUAUAUUAAAUCCCGAGGAAACGAGUGCCGUUCAACUUUACCAUUAUCACGAGACAGGGGCCGAAAGAAUAAGAAAGGCAACAACGGAAACCAGAAGGAAGCACAAUAAGCCCAGAACGCCUAUAUACUCGCAUAUAUUUUUCAUCAGCGUAAGAAAUUUUGUCUGCAAAAUGGCCGAAGAUGUGGAACUGCUGCUAACCCUGUACGACGGCAAAGAAAUGAAAGCGAUCACUGAGAACUACGUUGUAUUUUGGAGCAAGGAGGGCCUUGCCAAAGACAUCGAUCAGUUGCAUAAUUUGAGGGUGUUGUUCACCGACCUUGGAUCUAGGGAUCUGUCCAGAGAUAAAGUAUAUUUAGUAUGCUUUGCCAUUAGGGUUGGAGGCAUGGACGCGAAAGAGGUCGAUCACAGAAGAUCGAGCAUUGUACAGAAUAAUCAAAAGCCCAAAAAUGUUGACGACAUGCGGAGGCCAUUCGGCGUCGCCGCGAUGGACAUUACGUUGUAUAUUACAGGGAAACUAGAGGGCGAUGUUGAGCAUCAUCAUUUCAUUCCGUUUUUGCACUGUGAGAAGGAGAGUCUGGAUGGAACGUUACGCAGAAUUAUUUCCCAAAAGGAAACAAACAGCCAGAAAAGUAAUAGUGGGAAUUGCGGAAACGUUGCUGGAGGUCAGGGCUUGUGGGCUAGCUUGAAACUACUUAUGGGUGAUACUAAACAAGUACGUGAAGAAUAUCCGCAUUUAGUACUAGGUAAUGUGGCUAUCGCACGUAAAAUGGGAUUUCCAGAAGUAAUUUUACCAGGAGAUGUGAGGAACGAUCUAUAUCUUACGUUGAUAUCUGGAGAGUUCAGCAAAGGAUCUAAAUCUACCGAUAAAAAUGUUGAAGUAACGGUAAAAGUUUGCAACGAGCAUGGGGUUCCAAUACCAGGGAUGAUGACACUAGGUGGUGGAGCAGCCUUGAUAGACGAAUAUCGUAGUGUUAUAUAUUAUCACGAAGAUAAGCCAAGAUGGUGCGAGACCUUUAAAAUAGCCGUGCCAAUAGAAGAGUUUAAACAGGCUCAUCUGAAAUUUACUUUCAAGCAUCGUAGUUCAAAUGAAGCCAAGGACAAAUUCGAAAAACCGUUUGCUCUAAGUUAUGUUAGAUUGAUGCAACGCAAUGGAACAACGCUUCAGGACAUUCAACACGAAUUAUUAGUUUAUAAAUUAGAUCACAAAAAGUACGAAGAAAAUGAAGCAACGUAUUUGAGCUUACCCUCUACUCGAGGAGAACUGCUAGAGCUCCAUGGUGAAAAGAAACCGUCAAGAGGUCCGCUGACUUUGAGUUCUAAAGAUAAUUUCUUAAUAGUAACCAAUAUUUGCUCCACUAAAUUGACGCAAAAUGUGGACUUGUUAGGUUUAUUAAAUUGGGCAUCAUGUAAAACGGAUUUAAAAGACUCUUUGGCAGCCUUAAUGAAAGUUGACGGAGAGGAAAUUGUGAAAUUUUUACAAGAUGUCCUAGAUGCUUUAUUCAAUAUAUUAAUGUGUAAUUCAGAUAGCGAUGUGUUCGAUGACAUGGUUUUCGAAUGUUUAUUGUAUAUAAUUGGAUUGGUGUCCGAUAGAAAAUACCAGCACUUUCAGCCAGUAUUGGAUUUGUACAUAUCAGAAAGCUUUUCGGCGACUUUGGCAUAUAAGAAAUUGAUCGUCGUUUUACGAAAACGCAUAGUUAGCGCCUGUACGAAUGAUGUGCAAGAGCGAGACUUAUUAUUAAGAACUAUGAAGAGUUUGCAAUACUGUAUGAGAUUCAUUGUCGAAUCUCGAUUAUUGUUCACGGCAUUGGAUGAGGACGAAGAAGAAUUUUCUCAGACUUUAACGGACCUACUCAGAUCUAUCGUUGAUCUAAUGAGUCACGAGACCGAUGGAACUCUAUUAGUGCAAGGAGCAUGUCUUAAGUAUUUACCGACAACGGUACCACAUUUACUGCGAGUGUAUAGUGGAAAACAACUGAGUACAAUACUAACGGAUUUAUUAGUCACGCUACCCCCAGGAAGGUUAACUAAACAGAAAAUGAUGACAAUAAACGACAUUGUACACAGUCCACUUUUUUUAAAUGUGGAUUGUAGGGCAAUACUUUUGCCAAGAAUCGUUCUACUCGUUCGGAAUCUUCUUGAAGCUAAAGAAGAGGGACUGUCAGGCACGCCUGGAAAAAGCGUGGCGAAGGUAGCCAGGUUGCUCGGCGAAAAUCGUCACCGACUGAACCAACAUCGGGGAUAUUCCGAAGAGGUGGAACUUUGCGUUAAAAUCCUGUCGGAUAUUCUCAAAUUGACAUUUAGAAAGGACGUCGGCUGCACAGUUUCGGAUGUGAAGGAAAUCAUGUUAACAGCACUCAGAACUGUCAUACAGACUGUCAUAUCGAUGGAUAGAGAAAACCCUCUAGUAGGAAAUUUAGUAUCCGUGAUGCUGGCAAUAUUCAGACAAAUGACCCAACAACACUACGAAAUAUACAUUAAUCAUUUCGGUACGGAAUUUGACUUGCUUGACUUCUUGAUGGAGAUUCUGUUAGUUUUCAAGGACCUUGUUUCUCGAAGUGUCUUCCCCAAUGACUGGUGCGAAAUGAUCAUGCUUCAAAACAGCGUUAUUUUGAAGUCGCUCCGUUAUUUCUCAGGGACUAUCGUGGAACAUUUCUUUUCGAAUUUCGAACAACAAGCUUGGUCCAAUUUCUUUCACGGUGCAAUAGCCUUUUUAACGCAACCGGCACUUCAGUUGGAAACAUUUAGUCCUGCGAAACGUAAUCGGAUCGUCGCGCGAUACAGUGACAUGCGCAGGGAAACUGCUUUCGAAAUACGAUCGAUGUGGUUCAACUUAGGCCAAUAUAAAAUCUUGUUUGUGCCUUCCUUAGUUGGUUCCAUUUUGGAAAUGGCUUUGAUACCAGAAACGGAACUAAGAAAAGCUACCAUUCCUAUAUUCUUUGACAUGAUGCAGUGCGAAUUUUAUAGCUCAAGAAUCGCCGAAGGAUAUGGAGAUACAAAGAGAGAUCCUGCCUAUAUUAAAGCUAAUUUCAUUGAUUACGAAAACGAGAUGAUUGCAAAGCUGGACAUUUUGGUCGAAGGAGGAAAGGGAGACGAACAAUUUCGUAAUCUCUGGGUGCAAGUAAUGAGUUCCCUUUGUGAAAAACAUUCGACAAUGCGAGAACAAGGUUUACGAUUCGUAGAAACCGUGGCUAAAUUAAUGGAACGUCUGCUACAAUAUCGAGACAUUGUUCAUGCCGAAUCUCAGGAACAUCGAAUGCUCUGCACGGUUAACUUGUUAGAGUUCUAUUCUGAGAUAAACAGGAAAGAAAUGUACAUCAGAUAUGUGAACAAAUUGUGCGAACUACAUUUGGAGUGUGAUAACUAUACAGAAGCUGCUUACUCGUUAAAAUUACACAGUCAACUGUUAUCAUGGAGUGAUCAGCAUUUGCCUCCUUUGUUGAGAUCUAACAGAUAUCCACUGUGUCAGACUCACCGCCAACUAAAAGAAGCUCUGUACAAUGACAUGAUCGAAUAUUUUGACAAAGGAAAAAUGUGGGAAUGUGCGCUUGGAGUUUGCAAGGAGUUAGCAGCACAGUAUGAAGAAGAAACCUUCGAUUACGCUCAACUGUCUUUACUGCUAAGACGAAUGGCCAAAUUUUACGACUGCAUAGUAAAACAGUUAAGACCUGAACCAGAAUACUUCAGAGUAGCAUAUUACGGACGAGGUCAUCCACCGUUCUUGCAGAACAAAGUAUUCAUUUAUCGGGGCAAAGAAUACGAAAGGCUCAGUGAUUUUUGUUCGAGAACGCUGAACCAGUUACCUAAUGCCGAACAAAUGAGUAAAUUAUCUCCACCUAGCGAAGAUAUUCUGGAAUCUAAUUGCCAGUAUGUACAAAUUAACAAAGUAGAUCCGUUAAUGGAUGAAAAGAAGCAUCGUUUAAGUGGAAAACCGGUCAUUGCAGAAGCAGUUUUGAGGUACCACCGCGUUAAUGACGUCCAACGAUUUCGAUUUUCACGCCCAGCUCCGAAAAAAGAAUUAACAACGGUGCGGACUGGAGAUAAAGAUAAGGAAAUCCAAGAGAGUAACAGUAAUGAAUUCGCCUCAUUGUGGUUAGAAAGGACAGUGCUUGUAACGAGUCAUCCUCUGCCUGGAAUUUUAAGGUGGUUUCCAGUUACAUCGAGUGAAACUUAUUUAGUUAGUCCUUUGCGGAACGCUAUCGAAACGAUGGAAGCCACUAAUACGGUACUCCGAGACCUCAUCAUUGCUCACAGAGCGGAUCCCAAUCUUCCUUUGAACCCCUUGAGUCUAAAGCUGAAUGGUAUUCUGGAUCCAGCUGUAAUGGGAGGAGUAGAUAAUUAUGAAAAAGCUUUUUUAAAUCCCGAUUAUCGAGAAACGCACCUACACGAAAGCGCUGAUCUUUUGAAAUUGGAAGGUCUGAUUGCUUCACAAAUACCUCUUUUAGAAAUUGGAGUGCAACUACAUAAAGCGAGGGCACCCCUCGAACUUGCUCCAUUCCAACAACGGUUGGAACAUUGUUUUGCAUCUAUGCGCAUCCAAAUAGAAUCAAAAUACGGUAAAAGAACUUGUGACCUGAAGCUUGAGAAUAUUACUCAUACGGUUACGAUGCGCAGAAAUCAACCUACUAGAGGCGAGAGCCAUCGUUUAUCAGAAGCCAGUGCAGUAAGCACAGAAAAUAACUCCGUGCGAUCCCACAUUUUGUCUUCGGCAUCUAUACAGAAAGCACUCGGAAGUUCCAGCCCGGGUACAAAUAAGAAAAAGGACUCUAAAAGGAGUUCACGUAAAAGCGAUACAACCGCGGCAAAUAAAAACGACCAACCAAAGAGUCAGUGGUACACGACAUCUGACGUGAUGCAGAACACUAUCAUGACCGAUACUUCACCGACAACGAGUCUUUCUGCGACACAUAUAUUUGAAUUGAGACAAGAAUUAACUCCUAAACGUCCUCUAAGAUCGGAAGCGGAAAAAGAGCGGAGAAUAAGUACUCGAUGGUCCGGCCAAACACAAUAUUAUCCAAGGAUUUCAAAUAACGGAUUGGAACCUACCAGUCUAUCUAAGGGAAAUAGAGAUAGUAUUGGAACAACCGACAGCGCUACCUCCGAAGAAGAUCCUCCACCACCUCUGCCAAUCAAAACGCGCGAAGCAGAUUAUUGUAAUCUCCCAGAUGAUGAUCAAGCUCAUCAUGGCCAAAUGAACAUCCUGAGCAACAUAAAUAGACUCCUGUGUCACCCAGCAAAGAGUAAACUACCAACUCCAUCUGACGGUAACCAAAGCAAACCACCAACACCGCCUCCGAAACCUAAAAGGCCGAUGCACACCACGGAGGAUGUUUUUCUUCCGGCAGGUGAUCUAACCGAUCGAAGUCGUGACUCAUCGGCCACAUGAUGAUCGUACACAUACAAUUAUUUAUAAUCACCCUCUCCUAUAUUACUUUCUCAUUGAAAAUAAUUUAUUGCCGAAAUUCAAACUAAACUUUGACUGUAACCGAAAUUGAAUUUGCUCUUCUACUAACAUACAAUUAUCAUCCCCGAUAUAUGAAAGGUUCGUGACAUGUUCGUGGCAUGUACCACAUUGCAAGAUUUUCGUAAAUUUGACUUCAUUUGACAAAAAUCUGACACAAAUCUUGCAAUAUAGUACAGAUCUUGCUGCAGAGAUGCGUGUUUAAUCCUACGUUGAGAAUGUCUAAAGGUUGUUGUGCAUCUGUACAUUCUGUACAUUUUGACACAAUGGUGUUAAUACUAGCAAUUUAAAGUUACAAGAUUUAUAUUGCUGCGGAUAAAUUUUCCACCUUAUCAUGCAAAUAUGUAAUUUAUUAACAAAGAUCUUUGUUAUACCGUACACAUUGGCGAAGACAAAUGCAAUGUUAUAAUCCGAAACGCCCAAAAUUUCUGAUUAACAGAUCAGAAAAUAGUUUUUUGGCAGGCGCUAAAAAUGAACAUCUUUUGUGCUAACUUAUAUACCAUUUUCUUUUUACCUUCGAUUUCAUUCAAAUACAUGCAUGAAGUAAUGGGAGAAGCAUCCCUUUUCUUUAAAUACAUCCACCAAACUACUUUAUUUCUUGCAAUUCAUAUAUUUGGAUUUAUACUAUAUAAAGCGUGAAUAUGUUUCGCCAUAUACUUUUACAACACUUUUCGACCACAUAUGUACGGACUAUAAUACAGUCCGACGCAUGAACAAUGAAAGAUGCUUCUGCCAUCAAGGGUGUGAAUAUAUUUCAUUUUUAUACAGUAAUUUACAUUAUACAUAUACAUUCACUAUAGUACAGUGCGCAUUUGCAGUAUGAAAUGGCUUUUCAAUGAUAUCGUCAUUGCUAUACCACAUUACACACUCAUUUACAUUAUUUAUUUGUUAAAUAUGUCAAUUCAAGUAAAUAGUUAAUAUAACGUGGUUUUAAAUGUCUAGUCGAUUGUACGGUCGGAUGAAAGUUGUUGGCCAAAGGUUUUAUUUGGCUUUGUCUUGAACCGGAUCGACAUAUGUUCAAAUGCACAUUAAUUUUGGUAUGGUUUAUAUGCAAAAGAGUUUUAUUUAAACUAAACCAAAUUUUAGUUUUAGGGCAUUUAUACACUUGAGAAUGUAGAAUGUCAGGACGAAUUUAAACGGAACAAGCCACUGUAGAAUUCGAGAUUUCAUAUUUGUUUCUAAACUAGCUUGAAUCUAAUCAAGACUACUAUAAUAUUAAUAUUUCUAAUGAUAUCUGAAACUAUGGCAACAAUGUUCAUUUUAUUCAGGUAUAAAUAGUAACAUGAUUUAUACUAAUUUUAUCAGGAAAGUAUAAUAAUAAUAAUAAUUGCUUAAUUCAAAGUACCAUAGAUCUAUACAUUGAAGACGGCCUAAAAACUAAUUUUUGCUCAGUAUGUGUUCCUGUCAUAUCAGAAAUAAACACAAUACUUGAAUCGUAAAGCUUUCAAAUGUAUAACUAAAAUUACUACAUGAAGUAAAAAGAUUAUCAUUAACAAUGCUUGGGCAAAUUUUUAAACUCUUGCAUUCUAUUUUUCAUGACACGUAGACUUUUGUGUACAUUAUGACGUCUAUUUAAGAUAUUUCUUAAAUCGUAGGCAAUAAUACACUUCAUUAAUAUUUAUUUCGUCGCCGUUUAUCUUGUACUUUUUCUACGAAUUGUAAAUGAGAAGCCUUUUCAGAAAAACUAGGUAAAUAAAUUUCCAAAGUGCAUAUUGACAAUAAAAUUGUAAUGCAUUACACUCUAAUCAUCGUAGAUACUUGAGAUGCAUUUGAAAUAAAUAUGGCUUCUUUUAUUCUAUUUGAGAAUGACACUUCCAACAUAUCAAGCAAACCGAUUGUUAAAUGGUUUCCGAACUUCCUAUAUUAGAAAACCAACGUUCUCCAAAUAAUGUAAAAUUUUUUACUGACAAUACUCCAUUGACAAAACGAAAAAUAUGUAUCUAAGAAAUCAUGUUUUAUUACUGUACCAAAGAAAGUAUUUUUAGCGUUAUUUAUUCGAAUUAAUCUAUUGUACGUAUUAACGGUGGUAUAAGUGCGGCAUAUGAACGAUGAACUCGAAAAAGAAAAACAAUCUGCAAAUGAUUAAGAAAUCUUAAAUGUAAAACAUUUACCUACUAGUCUGCUUAAUAAAACUACACCUUUGUUAUGAAUCGUUACAAAUGUAAUAUAUACGACAUGCACAUUCGUUCACUUGCACACAGUCUAUAUUAGGUAAUUUGUUUAUAAUGACAAACAAAUAAUGUAGUGCCAUUUUAUUUUUUUAAGUUUGUUGUAAUUAUAUACCUUCCUAGAUAGUUAGGGACCAACGCAGUAACAUUUUAUAUUGACAUAUUAUGUAUUAUAUAAUGGUAAUUAAAUAUACGCUGCUGCAUAA
Molecule: unclassified non-coding RNA, 8407 nt
Filed under: Orussus abietinus
Lineage: Eukaryota; Metazoa; Arthropoda; Insecta; Hymenoptera; Orussidae
Description: dedicator of cytokinesis protein 1, transcript variant X5
Source: RNAcentral